GAUGAACGCUGGCGGCGCGCCUAAUACAUGCCAGUCGAGCGAACAGACGAGGAGCUUGCUCCUCUGACGUUAGCGGCAGACGGGUGAGUAACACGUGGAUAACCUACCUAUAAGACUGGGAUAACUUCGGGAAACCGGAGCUAAUACCGGAUAAUAUAUUGAACCGCAUGGUUCAAUAGUGAAAGACGGUUUUGCUGUCACUUAUAGAUGGAUCCGCGCCGCAUUAGCUAGUUGGUAAGGUAACGGCUUACCAAGGCAACGAUGCGUAGCCGACCUGAGAGGGUGAUCGGCCACACUGGAACUGAGACACGGUCCAGACUCCUACGGGAGGCAGCAGUAGGGAAUCUUCCGCAAUGGGCGAAAGCCUGACGGAGCAACGCCGCGUGAGUGAUGAAGGUCUUCGGAUCGUAAAACUCUGUUAUUAGGGAAGAACAAAUGUGUAAGUAACUAUGCACGUCUUGACGGUACCUAAUCAGAAAGCCACGGCUAACUACGUG
This 497-nucleotide ribosomal RNA is filed under the name uncultured bacterium. Its description in RNAcentral is "partial 16S ribosomal RNA". It matches the Rfam family "Bacterial small subunit ribosomal RNA", at positions 28 to 507 of the family's 1533-position model. The record is from RNAcentral.